This is a long non-coding RNA of Harpia harpyja (harpy eagle), 2940 nucleotides long. RefSeq lists it as uncharacterized. The record is from RefSeq and is a predicted model, not a curated record. The transcript has 3 exons. NCBI's taxonomy places the organism in Eukaryota, Metazoa, Chordata, Aves, Accipitriformes, Accipitridae.
AGCGCAACUGGAAAACUGCCAGGCCAGAACCCUCCACAGUCCAGGGAAUUUUUCUCUUACUAUGCUGUCACUAGGUGCAAAGCUGCAUGCUUCACAUGCAACACAGGAAAACUGAGUUUUCAAGAAGGUUAAUCUGGACGCUCAACAAAGAAAACAGUGACAGCAGAGAAGAGCUAACAUGAAAAGGAGAUGGAGGCUCAGAUCAGUGCGUAAAGUGCCAAGCGACACUAAAUGUAUGGACAGACCUGAUAAACAUGAGAUUGAAGACGGAAGGGAAUACAAGAUUUACCUAGCCUAAGUGCCAAGCCCCUGACAAAAAAUCCAGUCCUAUUAAAAACAAUAGCCUUGGCAAUCCCAGUUGAUUGCUAAAAUGGACAGCUUCCUGGUACUUUUCCUGAUACCAUGCUGGCAGUUGCUGGGGCCUCACUGUUAACAUGUAGGAGGAGUAUUUUGAUCACCAUGUACUGAUGUGGUAACGCACGGCUCCGUAACUCUGCGUUGAGCACCAGCUUCUCCCCUGCAUCAGCUAGAGGCCAGGAGAACAGCCUGCACUCCCAAGGUCAGCCUGGGAGAAUGGAAACCAUCUCACAGCCUGGAGAAAGCAGCUUUGCUUUUAAGAGGUAUUGCAUUCAGAGCUUCUUUACCCUGUCAAUUGCCAGCCUAAAAUGACUAGGUAAUUAUUGUUGAAAGUCCAGCUUUCCCGCAAAUGCAGCCUAACCCAAUAGCUCAGGAAUGCACUGAGCACAAACGAAGGAAGAUGUUUUGCAAAAAUUGGUAUGUGCUUUGAUACACUGCUGCCUGGUGAGUACAGUGAGGCAUUGGGGGUACUUUAGUGUUUGAAAGCAGCUUUGUGCGUAAGAGCAAAAAAUAUGCACUGAAAAUUACCUCCUUUUCAGGUGAGACAUGUAGUAGGGGCACAUGCAAACCAUGCCAUGCAUUGCUUGUUUUUACCGAGACUGCAUCAACUGGGAAAAUAUUUCAGAACAUCUGAUACAAUCAGAGAGCUCCCAUCAGGCUUUCAGACAAGGAUGGAUGUCAUCAAGCCAAGCCAUGGGAUCAACACCAGUGGUUAAAUUGACAGCAUAAAAUGGAAAAAAAGACAAAGAAGGAGGAGUGGAACACCCAUAAUAAAAACAUUAUGGCAAAUAGAUAAUAAAGAAAUUUGAUCAUAGCUAACAAUGAACAGGAACCAGCAUCUGCACUGAAGCAGAAAAAGCAGUGAGUGAACACAACAAGACCAGUGACUGUGACUGCAGACUUGCUGAACUCAUUGAAAGCCAUGACAAGAAAGGUAUAGGCACCUUAUGCAAGAUUUAUGAUGCUGUCUGCAGGAGAAGGUUUGAAGCAAACACUGCCAAAGGAAGCAAGCAAGAAUUAAAAUGAUAUUACUUAAAAUGUGUGUAAACAAAGUACAUUGGCAAAUAAAGAAGCCAUGGGAAUACCAUAGGAAGUAUCCUAGACAUAGGGUUAGAAAACACUGUAUCAGCACUCUGCCCUACACCAGGAAUCAUGAGGAAAGGACAUUGACAAACAACUGCAUGCAUAGUCAAGUAAAUCAAUUUUUCUACUUGUGUACAUCACAGAAAGCUGCAGCAAAGAGGUUCUUGUGUAUUUUUCACCCUGCUGUGCUGUCUGCAUUUUAGCUGGGAAACCACAAUUCAGAACAGAAAGGUAGAAUAAAAAUGUGAAGCACUGGUGCCAAAGUAACAAAUUGGAAGGCCUGAGAAAUAGUGAUCAGCAAAAUACAUGUGCUGGAGCAGACAGACAUCUGACCCAAUUUUUAAACCCACAGUUUUCCCAAAGCUUACUUAUGUAUUAGCCAGAGAGAAGACAUAAGGUGAAAUAUGUGUUAUUUUUUUCUUUUAAUAUAUGCUCUUCUCAAAAACUGAAAGUUCUGUGCUGUAAUUGGCACUACUCAAAGUGUAUUUCCUUUUUGAAGUCAGUGACAAGUUGAAAUAUCAGUCUUCUCCAUGACCUAUAGUCACUCUCUGAAACAACAAGCUAUGCGAGUUAUUUUCAAGGCCGGUUGUUACUUUUGGCUGUUGCAGAAAUUUUUCACCCCUGUUUUUUCAAAUUGAACUGGACACUUUCAACUGACAUGACAAACUUUAGGCAGGGUGUCUUGAAUCCCUACCUCCUCCAGCCUUCAUGCUGUCUGAAGAAUUACCAUGGCCAGAAAAGGCUGGUUUCCUUUCGCAAGCUGCAGGCACGACAAGCCAGCAGUGAUUGCAAGGAACAGGAACAAACUCCUGCUCGCAGGCUAGUUCCUGAUGAACAGCAGAAAAGGACUGUCUGCAAAGGCGUCUUAUUACACUAGAGUAAAAAAAAGCUGUGCUAAUAACACAAAUAAAUUUGUACUGUACCCACAAAGGAAAUAAAAAGUUUUUUGCCCAUGUCUUGACAUUUACCAUUUUGGUAAAUGCCUUGCACCCAAACAUCACUGCUCUUCUGUCCUCUUACGUUCCCUUUUAGCUGUUUUCUGUGACAUGUUGGUGGUACCCCCCUGCUCUGUUUUGGAAUGACAACUUGUUUUAGUGGGGUGUGACCAGCCGGUCAUCUGGCAAGCACUCGCAAAGACUCUAAUCCAAAAAGCCAAUCUCUUCCUAGCUCCAAAUCUGCAAGGCUUUAAUGAGGUCUUGUGGAGAAGCAGCAGUUAUCAGAGAUUCAUUAAAGAUGAGGACAUCCUUGCAUAGCUACUAAUUGCUUUAACUCACUAGCUCGUGUUGUUUGUGAAAACUGGAGCCUGCCAAGCAAUGCUCUCAAUUUAAAUUGUUGCACUGCUUUGUGCCUGCUUUGAAACUUUCCCACUCUGCCCAUGAAUCAAAGCACAUAAUGGAUUUAUUUUCUUUUUUAUCACAACAGAAGAGACUUAUUCUGCUGGGGUCUGUGCACACCUUUGUCUAGAUAAAUAUUCAACUACUGAAAGCCAUGCUAUUGUAA